UCCCUACGGGGGGCAGCAGUGGGGAAUAUUGCACAAUGGGGGGAACCUUGAUGCAGCAACGCCGCGUGGGUGAAGAAGUACUCCGGUAUGUAAAGCCCUGUCAGCAGGGAAGAAAAUGACGGUACCUGACCAAGAAGCCCCGGCUAACUACGUGCCAGCAGCCGCGGUAAUACGUAGGGGGCAAGCGUUGUCCGGAAUUACUGGGUGUAAAGGGAGCGCAGGCGGGAAGCCAAGUCAGCUGUGAAAACUACGGGCUUAACUUGUAGACUGCAGUUGAA
RNAcentral lists this ribosomal RNA (278 nucleotides) under uncultured bacterium. Its description in RNAcentral is "partial 16S ribosomal RNA". It matches the Rfam family "Bacterial small subunit ribosomal RNA", at positions 335 to 631 of the family's 1533-position model. The record is from RNAcentral.